GACGAACGCUGGCGGCGUGCUUAACACAUGCAAGUCGAACGGAAAGGCCCUGCUUUUGUGGGGUGCUCGAGUGGCGAACGGGUGAGUAACACGUGAGUAACCUGCCCUUGACUUUGGGAUAACUUCACGAAACUGGGGCUAAUACCGGAUCGGAUCUCCUGCUGCAUGGUGGGGGUGGGAACGUUUCGGCGGUUGGGGCUGGACUCGCCGCUUAUCAGCUUGUUGGUGGGGUAGUGGCUUACCAAGGAUUUGACGGGUAGCCGGCCUGAGAGGGUGACCGGCCACAUUGGGACUGAGAGACGGCGCAGACUCCUACGUUGGGCAGCAGUGGGAAAUAUUGCACAGUGGGCGGAAGCCUGAUGCAGCGACGCUGCGUGCGGGAUGACGGCCUUCGGGUUGUAAACCGCUUUCGCCUGUGACGAAGCUUUAGUGACGGUAAUGGGUAAAGAAGCACCGGCUAACUACGUG
RNAcentral lists this ribosomal RNA (468 nucleotides) under uncultured bacterium. RNAcentral describes it as "partial 16S ribosomal RNA". It matches the Rfam family "Bacterial small subunit ribosomal RNA", at positions 28 to 507 of the family's 1533-position model. The record is from RNAcentral.